UUAGUCAGCACUGUGGGCAGGAUUUUCCAAACCAAAAGCAUCAAAGGUCAUGACAUUAAGUCAACCACAGAAGUACCAGAUUCACCUUGCUAGGUGAUAUUUUUGGCACAUCCUGUCAGUGUUUUCACUCUAUUAGCUUUUUUCCAUAAGAUGACAGCAAAUAUCAUGAUUGCAGAUUAUCUCAUAUUUCAGUAGUUUUGAAAAUAGAAAAAUUCCUUCAGGGUGUAGAAUAAAGUUUCAACUUUGCCAUAUUCAUGUAAAACAGCUCUAACUUCUCCGUCAGUGCCGCCUUAUGUUUGCUGCUUCUUUUAAUUGCCUGCAUUAGUGUCCCUCUCGUUCUCUGUGUCAUUUGUCAAGCUGUUCCCUGUCUUCAACUUCUGAUGCCAGCCAAAUAUUUUUUUUUUCUUCUUCUGGUUUCUUUUAUUCCUCUCGUCCUUCCUCCUUGUUUUGUUUUCGUCCUUCCUUCACCAUCGAGACCCAGUUUGCCUCUCGCCAGCUGUCAUUGUGAGGAGGAAUCUGUCCCCAGCUGACUCGCCUCUUUCACUCAGUGUGAACUUGUCUGACCUGGUGCCGUGACGGGCCUCGUACGGCCCGGGGGGCGUGUGCGGUUACAUUGGCCGAAGAGACAUAUGGAGUUCACAGAGGCGCCACCUCAGCUGCAUUCAGGACCCACCAGUGCCAAGUACUUCCAAGCUCCUGGCAACACAGACAGAGCAGGAGGAAGAGCGAGCUGUCUUCCCUCCCAGGUGACAGUUCAAGGCAGCGACGGGGAAGAACGCCUCCUGUCCUGGGAAGGAGAGUCUCCAGAGCUGUCUUCUUGGACUGAACUCAGGUCCUGCAAACUGGGCCAGUGUUAGCCGCCUGGUGGAGGCCAUGUUCAACCAGCUCUACCUUCUUCAGCCAGUGGCCGCAUGGUCCAGAGGAACCAUGAGGACUUGGUGUUCCUUCAUCCUCAAAGACUACAUGGCCAUUAGAAGGCAGUGUCGGCCACCAGGAGUUUGUCAUAGAGCUGUGUCAACAUACAUUUGCACUUUGCACAAAUAGGACAAUGAAAUUAGGCAAUACUCCUGGUAUUUUUCAUUAUACAGCGUGAACAACUGCAGAAGAAUUAUACUUCAUGCACAGACUGUUGAUGGUUGUGAGCUUGUUCGUCAUUAGCUGAUGCUGCCUAAACGCUGUUAAGGCUUUGCGUGUGUUAUUGUCCCACUGAAUGAAGACGUGCAAUUUAAUUCAGCGUUUGAUGAUAAUAAGGUAGAAUAUUUACAACAUGAAUAAAAUAUAUAGGUGAAGCAGCAGAGACUUUUAAGAAAUGCAAUAAAAUAGAAAUACAAGAUCCCAAAACUUCAACGAUUUGAAGGCAAACCAAUAUAUUUACUAGUCUGUUUUUAGUUUCAUGACAAGCUUUUUUACCACAUUUUAUUAGAAACGUAAACAAACCAAAGUAUUUUGCACAAGGAGACUCUAUUGCUUCUUAAAGAAACCAACAUUAUAUGUGUCCUCAGUUGCACUGAGGUACAUCACACACUCUCAUAUAGUGAUGAAUCCUCUAUGAAAGAAGAAUAUAUGCAGGGAUGAGAAGAAAAAGUGAAAUAUAAAAUGUAUAAAUAUAUAAAUAAAAUCAAUUCAAGAAAAUAUCUGCAUCCUUCAAAAUAAGAGGACAGGCAAAAGAGCAAAAAGAAAUCACUUGA
Molecule: long non-coding RNA, 1688 nt
Organism: Seriola aureovittata
Lineage: Eukaryota; Metazoa; Chordata; Actinopteri; Carangiformes; Carangidae
Exons: 4
Source: RefSeq, a predicted model, not a curated record